GAAACGCGAUAGUUAAUGUGAAUUGCAGAAUUCAGUGAAUCAUCGAAUCUUUGAACGCACAUUGCGCCCGCCAGUAUUCUGGCGGGCAUGCCUGUUCGAGCGUCAUUACAACCCUCAGGCCCCCGGGCCUGGCGUUGGGGAUCGGCGGAAGCCCCCUGCGGGCACAACGCCGUCCCCCAAAUACAGUGGCGGUCCCGCCGCAGCUUCCAUUGCGUAGUAGCUAACACCUCGCAACUGGAGAGCGGCGCGGCCACGCCGUAAAACACCCAACUUCUGAAUGUUGACCUCGAAUCAGGUAGGAAUACCCGCUGAACUUAAGC
This 320-nucleotide unclassified non-coding RNA is filed under the name plant metagenome. RNAcentral describes it as "partial contains 5.8S ribosomal RNA, internal transcribed spacer 2, and large subunit ribosomal RNA". The stretch from base 1 to 105 matches the Rfam family "5.8S ribosomal RNA", at positions 50 to 154 of the family's 154-position model. The record is from RNAcentral.